UGCCUUGCAAAAGGUUCAGUCACUGUACAGUCUCUUUUGAUCUAUUCCAGGUUGUGUGUCCUUGCCUUCAUUGACUGUAUCCAACUACUGCGUUACCAGAUCACCUCUACUGGCUACUCUAUCUGGAAGCUGGCAAGGAAGAAGAGUAAAGAGUUCCUUUCAGGCCAUAGUCUUGGGAAGGGCCUUCCUCCUCCAUGUGCCAGUGCCACAGAGUCACCAUCCCAGUCAGCAUCACUAAGUUCUUUGGGAACAGAGACAGCAGCAGUGGCAGCACCAAUAGCACUUGUGUGGUCAAUACGUAUACAGAGCCUUGCCAACGAAUUUGGAGUGAGAUCAGCUGUCUUCAGAGUGCAGAUCUCCCAUGAAGAAGGACUACCAUGGAAGUAGUUUCAUCUGUAAGUGUGUGAAGCCAACACCCC
This 419-nucleotide long non-coding RNA is filed under the name Coturnix japonica (Japanese quail). Its description in RNAcentral is "lncRNA (ENSCJPG00005009202.1)". Lineage: Eukaryota; Metazoa; Chordata; Aves; Galliformes; Phasianidae. The record is from RNAcentral.